Long non-coding RNA from Cucumis melo (muskmelon), 1314 nucleotides. RefSeq lists it as uncharacterized. Lineage: Eukaryota; Viridiplantae; Streptophyta; Magnoliopsida; Cucurbitales; Cucurbitaceae. The record is from RefSeq and is a predicted model, not a curated record. The transcript has 4 exons.
AGCCUGCAUGAAUAUUGAUUGAGAUAUUAGGAAGAUUUUAUUUUUGCUUUCAACUUAGCAUUGAUUGACAAAAUUGCAUGGAGAGUAUUGUGAGCUCUAUUUGAACAAAAAUGUGAUUGAUCACUUCUGCUUGCUUGUGUUAUGGAGUUUUCUUUCUUAGCUUGAACGUUGUUUCAAAUUUUCAAGUUUUAAAACAUGACAUAACAAAAGGAAAUGUUAACAAGCAAGAAAAAACAGUACACACAUACAUAUAUAUGUGAAUAUGUGAGUCUAAAUUCAUGUAGUUUUGCAUUCAAAUUUUCAAGAAUAAACUGACUCAAUUGAAUUCCAAUUUUGUUCGUUCCAAUUGCACGAUUGAGUUUGAUUUCUAAAAGAUGUAGGUUGGAAAAGGAGGUGAGCUAACAUGAAACGGAAGAACCAUAACAAGAGGAGUACUGGAUUCGUCGAGAAAUGGGAGAGAGACUCCAUGGCUCCCAUUUGUGAAACUUUUACAAUCGAUAUUAAUGUCAAUCUUGACAGGCAUUCAAAGAAGAGGAAUUUCUCUCUUUCUCUUUCCGUUGUACAUAAGAGAAGGGAUAGAAGAUGUUUGGGAAAGAAGAAAGGUAGAACGAUUAAUAAGUAGAAGAAGAUGAUAAGAAGAAAGGUUUGGGAAAGAAGAAAGAACUAUAGAGGUUAACUGGUUCAGCCAGAAAUUUAAAGGAUAUGCUUCAACAAUGAGCCUAAUGGUUGCAUCAGAAAAUAGGUAUUUUGUUUUUAUUUCUUUUCGUCCUCUCUUUACAAGUAACAUGGAAAUCGCUAUUUUGGUCUAUUUGUCAAGUAGUUCAAAUUCGAUUACAUCAAGACAUGAUAUGAAUUUUGUUUUCUCUGACGACUUGGCUAGCAUGUUGAAGCAUUGUCCGAGACCUUUUGUACGUCGGGGAAUAGUCUAUACCCAUCAAGUAUCUGAGCCUAAAGUCCAGAGACAGAGGUAAUAAUAGUUUAGGUUUAGGUUUUAGGUAAUGAACUUAUGAAUCCUACAUUUUGUUGUUUUUACUUGUUAGUUUGAUGCUCAACAAUAAUUGCCAAAUUGUUGAUUGUGCACGGAGGCCUAAAUCUUGAAUUGCUAUGAAAUGUUGUAAGAUCAAGUGAAACUUUAUGUUAUAUUUUAAGUUUCUCUGGGCUAGAUUAUUGAGAGUUUGAAUUGGGUUUCAAAUGCAAAUGGUUCACUUAGGAUAGAAAAUGCAAGUGUUUAUCUAUGAAUUUUGCAUGUGGGCGGUUUUAGGCAAAACUUGUGAAUUGCUAUAAAAUAUUGUAUGAUCAAGUGAAACUUUAUGU